UAUUUUAUAACAUUUAGAUAGAGCCU
RNAcentral lists this non-coding RNA (26 nucleotides) under Rattus norvegicus (Norway rat). Lineage: Eukaryota; Metazoa; Chordata; Mammalia; Rodentia; Muridae. The record is from RNAcentral.